GAUGAACGCUGGCGGCGUGCCUAAUACAUGCCAGUCGAGCGAACAGACGAGGAGCUUGCUCCUUCGACGUUAGCGGCGGACGGGUGAGUAACACGUAGGUAACCUACCUAUAAGACUGGGAUAACUUCGGGAAACCGGGGCUAAUACCGGAUAAUAUUUCGAACCGCAUGGUUCGAUAGUGAAAGAUGGCUUUGCUAUCACUUAUAGAUGGACCUGCGCCGUAUUAGCUAGUUGGUAAGGUAACGGCUUACCAAGGCAACGAUACGUAGCCGACCUGAGAGGGUGAUCGGCCACACUGGAACUGAGACACGGUCCAGACUCCUACGGGAGGCAGCAGUAGGGAAUCUUCCGCAAUGGGCGAAAGCCUGACGGAGCAACGCCGCGUGAGUGAUGAAGGUCUUCGGAUCGUAAAACUCUGUUAUUAGGGAAGAACAAACGUGUAAGUAACUGUGCACGUCUUGACGGUACCUAAUCAGAAAGCCACGGCUAACUACGUG
RNAcentral lists this ribosomal RNA (497 nucleotides) under uncultured bacterium. Its description in RNAcentral is "partial 16S ribosomal RNA". It matches the Rfam family "Bacterial small subunit ribosomal RNA", at positions 28 to 507 of the family's 1533-position model. The record is from RNAcentral.